UGUGUCGACGGACAGACACGCCUUUCAAGGAUGAAGGGAAAGGACAUCACAGGAAGUGAUUCAUCAGGACGAUGAAAAGGAAUACAGGGAAUAGGGAAAAAAUGUGGGCGGGUCGAACCGCCCCUUUUUUU
This 131-nucleotide small RNA is filed under the name Pseudomonas sp. OV226. Lineage: Bacteria; Pseudomonadati; Pseudomonadota; Gammaproteobacteria; Pseudomonadales; Pseudomonadaceae. The record is from RNAcentral.